RNAcentral lists this long non-coding RNA (727 nucleotides) under Equus caballus (horse). Its description in RNAcentral is "lncRNA (ENSECAG00000048265.1)". Lineage: Eukaryota; Metazoa; Chordata; Mammalia; Perissodactyla; Equidae. The record is from RNAcentral.
UGAGGCAGAGGGAAGGGAGAACAAAGCAGAAAAAGCUUCCAUUUGGACAGAGAUGCUUUAAGCCAUCCGACUGCCAGUAACAUAUUAAAGAGAAAAGAAAAUGCAAUGAUGCCUGAAUAUACUCAACAGUAAACAACUUCAAGCCUGAGAUUCAGAUCACAAAUCUUCCUCUGCUGCUGCUGAUGAGCUCAGCUUGAGCGUGGCUGCAGGAGACAAAGAAACUUGAUCCAAGAGGAAAAUAAGAAGAGAUCUUCACACCAAUUUUAAUCUAUCUCAGAUGUAUGUUUUAAGAAUCUAUUGUAUCAUAACCUUUGUAUUAUGUCAGAAGUCUGUUCUGUUGAAGAACUGGUCGCUCUCUUGCUGGUUCUCCAACAAGCGCUGUUUUCGCACCUGGAUGAGGACAUUUUGCCAUGUUGUGCUGGAUUGCUGUUUGUCUCUACGUGUGGCUCCUCCAGGGUUAGACUGUGUGAGCUGAAUCUUGACUUGUUUUUGACUGCCUUAUCCACGGACGCACCUGACAUACUUUCUCUCGGUGGAACAGCAAAUUGGAUUUUUCAAGAGCAGAUGAAAGACAUCUGUGCUUCUGGUUCUUGGACUUUCAGACUCAGACUCAGACCAUCAGGUGUCCCAUCUCAUUCCAAUCUCAGGCCUUGGGACUCAUACGGAAUUAUAACACCAGCUUUCCUGGAUAUCCAGCUUGCAGAUAGCAUAUCAAGGGACUUCUGGG